Molecule: ribosomal RNA, 441 nt
Filed under: uncultured bacterium
Lineage: Bacteria
Description: partial 16S ribosomal RNA
Rfam family: Bacterial small subunit ribosomal RNA
Source: RNAcentral
CCUACGGGUGGCAGCAGUGGGGAAUAUUGCACAAUGGGCGAAAGCCUGAUGCAGCAACGCCGCGUGAGGGAAGACGGUUUUCGGAUUGUAAACUUCUGUUCUUAGUGAAGAAUGAUGACUGUAACUAAGAGGCAAGCCACGGCUAACUACGUGACAGCAGCCGCGGUAAUACGGAGGUGGCCAGCGUUGUCCGGAAUUACUGGGUGUAAAGGGAGCGUAGGCGGGAAGCCAAGUCAGCUGUGAAAACUACGGGCUUAACAUGUGGACUGCAGUUGAAACUGGCUUGCUUGAGUGAGGUAGAGGUUGGCGGAAUUCCGGGUGUAGCGGUGAAAUGCGUAGAUAUUUGGAGGAACAUCGGUGGCGAAGGCGGCCAACUGGGAUUUAACUGACGCUGAGGCUCGAAAGUGUGGGGAGCAAACAGGAUUAGAUACCCUUGUAGUC